This 396-nucleotide ribosomal RNA is filed under the name uncultured bacterium. RNAcentral describes it as "bacterial SSU rRNA". It matches the Rfam family "Bacterial small subunit ribosomal RNA", at positions 30 to 420 of the family's 1533-position model. The record is from RNAcentral.
AGUGAACGCUGGCGGCAGGCCUAACACAUGCAAGUCGAACGGCAGCACGGCAGUAGCAAUACUGUGGGUGGCGAGUGGCGGACGGGUGAGGAAUACAUCGGGAUCUACCCUGUUGUGGGGGAUAACGUAGGGAAACUUACGCUAAUACCGCAUAAGAACUGAGGUUGAAAGCGGCGGACCGCAAGGCGUCGCGCGAUUGGAUGAACCGAUGUCCGAUUAACUAGUUGGCGGGGUAAAGGCCCACCAAGGCGACGAUCGGUAGCUGGUCUGAGAGGACGACCAGCCACACUGGAACUGAGACACGGUCCAGACUCCUACGGGAGGCAGCAGUGGGGAAUAUUGGACAAUGGGCGCAAGCCUGAUCCAGCCAUGCCGCGUGGGUGAAGAAGGCCUCGG